AUCCUACUUACGAGUCUCAAAUAGGACGAAAUACGCUUCCAGUAU
Schistosoma rodhaini is the source of this 45-nucleotide non-coding RNA. The record is from Rfam. Lineage: Eukaryota; Metazoa; Platyhelminthes; Trematoda; Strigeidida; Schistosomatidae.